Molecule: small nucleolar RNA, 148 nt
Organism: Notolabrus celidotus (New Zealand spotty)
Lineage: Eukaryota; Metazoa; Chordata; Actinopteri; Labriformes; Labridae
Product: small nucleolar RNA U109
Exons: 1
Source: RefSeq, a predicted model, not a curated record
CCGCAUGUUUCGGCCCUGGGCCGGUGUUGACUUCUCCAUUUCUGUAGAGAAGUCAAGUAGAAACAUGCUAGAGUAACACUUCUGGAGUUAACAGGGCCACCAGUCUUUCAAGGUCAGACUGAGUAGGUAGUAUAAUACUCCAACAUUC